This 6066-nucleotide small RNA is filed under the name Arabidopsis thaliana (thale cress). RNAcentral's name for it is "ATSL168570". The stretch from base 5030 to 5250 matches the Rfam family "MIR854 microRNA precursor family". The record is from RNAcentral. Lineage: Eukaryota; Viridiplantae; Streptophyta; Magnoliopsida; Brassicales; Brassicaceae.
CUGUCAGUGAAGACGGAUUCAAGCUCCGGUUGUUUCCAUUUUCCUUGGGCGACAAAGCACACAUCUGGGAAAAGAAUCUGCCCCAUGACUCAAUCACCACCUGGGAUGAUUACAAGAAGGCUUUUCUAGCAAAGUUCUUCUCCAAUGCCAGAACUGCAAGACUCAGAAAUGAGAUCUCUGAUUUUUCACAUAAGACUGGUGAAAGCUUCUGUGAAGCAUGGGAGCGUUUCAAGGGUUACACCAACCAAUGCCCUCAUCAUGGCUUCAAGAAAGCCACUCUGCUCAGCACUUUAUACAGAGGUGUUCUACCAGGCAUAAGAAUGCUUUUGGAUACCACCAGCAAUGGGAAUUUCGAGAAUAAAGAUGUCAAAGAAGGCAGGGAAUUGGUUGAAAACUUAGUUCAGUCAGAUUACAAUGAGGACUGCGAUAGGACCAUUAGAGGAACAAUCGACUCUAAUGACAAACACAUGAAGGAGAUCAAAGCUCUGAAUGACAAGCUGGAUAAGAUUCUUCUUAGCCAGCAGAAGCAUGUGCACUUCCUUGUUGAUGACAAGCAGUAUCAGGUCCAAGAUGGGGAGGGAAACCAGUUAGAAGAAGUUAGCUACAUCAACAAUCAAGGUGGCUACAAAGGAUACAACAACUUCAAGACUAACAACCCUAACGUCUCUUACCGCAGCACCAACGUUGCUAAUCCUCAGGAUCAAGUGUAUCCUCCACAACAACAGCAGGUUCAGAACAAACCUUUUGUCCCCUACAACCAAAGUUUUGUUCCAAAGUAGCAAUUUCAGGGUAACGACCAGCAGCAACCACCACCUGGGUUUGCACCUCAGCAACACCAAGGUCCUGCUGCUCUUGACGUUGAUAUGAAACAAAUGGUACAACAGCUGCUACAAGGACAAGCAUCUAGCUCUAUGGAAAUUGCGAAGAAGAUAUCCCAAUUGCACCAUAAGCUAGACUGUAGCUACAAUGACCAGAAUGCAAAAGUGGAGGCUUGGAAGGACAAUCCGCAUCUACCUCUCCUCCCAAAGUUAUAGGACUUCCUGGGAAGUCAAUACAGAAUCCAAAGGCGUAUACAACAGCUCACGCCAUCACUAUUUGCCAUGAUCGAGAGCUGACAACUCCACUUGUUCCUAACUUAAUCACUGGGGACAGCGAUGUUCAAGAAAGAGAGGCUUCUACUCAGAUUGAGGUCUCUAUUGUUGAAUUCAAUCAGUCUGGUGGAUCUCGCCAUCUUAUUCAAUCCACCUCAGAAGAGAAAGCAGCCAUAAUCGAGAGAAUGGUAAAACGAUUCAAACCUACUCCAUUACCCUCACGUGCUCUUCCAUGGAAAUUCAGGAAAGCCUAGAUGGAGAGAUACAAAUCUGUUGCAGAGAAACAGCUUGACGAGAUUGAAGCAGUGAUGCCACUAAUGAAAGUUCUCAACCUGAUUCCUGAUAUUGGAAAGGAUCAAAAUGUAUUACGAUUCAGAUGAUUAAUGUGAUGCUUAUCCGUCUCGAGCUGCUGAUAAGAGGAUUGUUCAAGAAAAAUUAGAAGAUCCUGGAUCUUUUACUCUACCAUGCUCCAUUGGGGAAUUGGCUUUCAGCAAUUGCCUGUGCGAUCUCGGAGCCUCUGUUAGUUUAAUGCCACUCUCUGUGGCAAAGAGGUUGGAAUUCAUUCUGUACACGCUUUGUGACCUGACUUUGAUCCUUGCGGAUAGGUCUUCAAGAAAACCCUUUGGCAUGCUAAAAGAUUUACCCACAUGAUUAAUGGAGUGGAAGUGCCUACAGACUUCAUUAUCCUGGAUAUGGAAGAAGAACAUAAGGAUCCUCUAAUCUUGGGAAGACCUUUCUUAGCCUCAGUGGGAGCAGUGAUAGAUGUCAGGGAAGGGAAAAUAAGUCUCAACCUUGGAAAGCACAUCAAGCUGAAGUUUGACAUCAACAAAACUCCACAAAGGUCAACAAAAGAUGGAAAAACCUAUGAGGACGAUAGAGUGAUCCGGGGAGAAGGAUAUGAGACUAAAAGAGUAAAAGAGCUUAAAAAGAGGUCUGAUAAGCAAGAGAAAACUAUAGAGGAGCUAGCUAACACCGUUAAGGAACUUAAGAGUAAGUUAAAUCAGAUGCAAAAGGAAGCUCAACCUAAAGUCGGGAUUGACACUAUCCAGAGAAAAAAGUUCACUUCAAGAUGGUCUGAAGAGAUAGAUUACCCUCCAGAAGAGAAAAAAGCCUACUUUGAAGAAAAGGGAAUUGAGUAUUCUGUCGCACACCUCUCAAGGGAAGAUGCUGAGUAUGAUGAUGAGAACAGAGAGGACUAUGCAGAUCCUCACUAUUACUCAUUUUCUUCUUUAUAAGUGUGAGGAGUCAAGCUAGAGAGUUUAAACACUGCUCACUUGGGAGGAAGUCCCAUGACUAUCCCUGUAAAUGACUUUUUCCUUUCUUGUUAUUUUUGAUUUGUUUUAGUUGUGUUUGUGGUUCUCAGGAGCAAAGGAACAACGGGGAGAUAGAGGGAAAAUUCAAAGCUUUUACUCUACAGAGGGCCUAGAGAUUGAGUACACAGUCCAAUGAAGUGCUAAAAUUUGAAAUCUUUCUGUUGCACCUGGAGACCAACCACUCGAGUGAGGAGGUCGAGUAUAGGUGUAAUUUUAAAACAGAAUUUCUUUAAAAAAAAAUCAUCAUAAUACUCGACCAACAGAAGCUACAAAGACUUACAUAAGGUUUAUCAAGUUUAGAGAGGAUUGCGGGAUUUCCUGAAAUUUUCCCAAUGAAGAAAGAGCAAUGAUUCAGAACAAAAAGACAACCGUGGGACCCACCACUGCACCCUAUGUCUCCCACACUCCCAACCAAAAGACAAGAAAUCUCUCUCAUUUCUUCUCAACCAACCAUACCUCACCCUUACCCUUAUCAUCACUCGACCUCCAUCUCUUCAAAUCGCCAAACUCUUCACUCAUCACUCGACCUCAACAACCAUUUUCUCUACCUCAGUUUUUCCGCAACCUAUACUCGACUGCACCUCUCUCAUCUCUCAUCGUCGCUCGCUGCAAUUCAAGUUAUUCAAGUGCUCGACAUCACACUCGACUUCAUCACUCUCCAACUUCAACAAUUUCACUUGACCUCUCAUCACCAUCUUCCUCACCGACGCUUGACCAAACCACACCAUCUCUCCAUCGCCUUAUCACUCGACUAACUCAACGGAAAAACGAGAACGAAGAUGGUCUUCAUUCACUCGAUCGCAAUGCUCAUCGCUCAUCCGUUCACUUCUCUCUCUCGCAAACCAUCGAGCUAGUCUCACCACCGUUAAUCACUUGAUCCAUAGCCAAAGAAGGAAGAGAAGAGAAGUAUUCGACCACGAAAACGAUUUAGUCUUCAAACUCAUCAUCUCUUCAUCACUUCCACCGCCGCUGCUCUCUUCUCAACAAAAGCUCACCACUCGAACGCUUCUUCACUUCUCACACUCGCAACCAAGAAAUCAUGGCCUCUACCAUUACUCGACCGUCGUGAACCUCUUUGCUAUCUCUCACCGAAACCACCACCAUCUCUCGCUUCUCAACACUCGACCGCGUCACCAAACCGGGCAAGAAAACCAACUAUGAUCCAAUACAUCAAAUUCAACAAUUUCACUCGACCUGUUUCGGUUUACUCUACCCUGUUACUCGAUCAUUUUACUCGACCAGUUUGUGUUUUUGGUUUUGUUGGAACUAACGUAUUAACGUUGCUCUUUGAGUUCCAUCUGUUUACAGGAAAUCAACAUGAGUAACUACAGUGGUGAGUCUUCUAUGGAUCCAGAUUAUAAUGUGGAUGAAGCUGAAUCUUCGUCCACUAGACCAGAGAAAGAGGAACAUGUUUACGAAAGUUUUAGAGCACAAAUGCAACGCUCAGCAGCUUGACAAGUCAGAGAAGUGCUGAAAUCGGUAGAGGAAAGAGAGCGAUGUUGAGUAGGUAUGAGUUGAUUGAUUAGGACAUUGAGACUGAGUAUGAGUCAGAGUCAUGGCGCAAGGAGACAAAGCUACUGAACAAACCCGACGAGGUUCCAGUCGAAGAGUAUAUCAGACUCUUUGAGCUGAAAGAUUUCUAGGGAACGAGGUACCCCUGCUACGAGACUUUAACCCAGUUGGGGCUACCAGAGGACGUGCAGCACCUGUUCGAGAAGUGUCAUCUGAAGACACUCAUGUCCUACCCAUACGCUGCCUACAAGGAGGAAACGAUCGAGUUUCUGUCCACAAUGCAAGUGGAGAUGUAUCAGGGUCUCACAAAGUAUGAGUUGGAGAGUAUAGGAUUAGGGUUCUUGACGUUUUCGGUUGAUCAACAGCGCUAUCAGUUGUCGAUCAACAGUUUGGAAAGACUGUUUGGCUUCCCUAGUGGAAAGGGAACCAAGCCUAAGUUUGACAUGGAAGAGCUUAAGGAUUUGUGGGCUACUAUUGGGAACAAUGUGCCGCUAAACUCUGUGCGGUCCAAAAGCAACCAAAUCCGGAGUCCAGUGAUUCGCUACUUUCAGCGCUCAAUAGCCAAUGUUCUUUACUCCAGGGAGUCUACAGGCACUGUGUCUAACACAGACAUGGAGAUGAUAGAUUUCGCACUUACAGGCAUUCUCCGCCGUACAAAGCGAAAGAAGGUCCUGAGAGGCGAUCUCAAUGACGCGCCACCAGUAAUGCUUCUAUUGAUCCACCUGUGUGGAUACAGGAAGUGAGCGUUGACAAACGGCAAGAAGAAGGUGAGAGGAGCACUAUGCAUAGGUGGCGUUGUGACGCCAAUUCUGGCAGCUUGUGGAGUACCGCCGAAGGAACCAAGGUUAGAACCAAGAAUGAUGGAUUUAGAUCAUUUGCGUUGAUGUGAGUUCUUGGAGUAUGACAUGGUUGGCGACUUCUACCGCUACAGGUUUGAGCAUUCGUCGAUCAAAAUCGCCAAUAUUCUUCUCCCCUGCAUUGAAGCUACUAGAAUUCUCGAGGGAAAGAACAUUGACUUCAAGCCUGCGCCUGAAGAUAUUUAUUUCGAGGGCAGUCCGCCAACUGAGGAGAUCACUCACGAGGAAGGAGUUACAACAGAGGAGGUUGAUGAGACUAAUGAAACAGAUGAAGUGGAGUAUGACACGAGCAUGUAUCAUUUUAGUGAGCAUGUACCUCCAGCGAGGGAGAGCAAGAGUUUGAGUGAAUCUCACAGAAACAACAGCAAGUUGCAAAAGUGGUGCAAGAAACAAGAUAAAUUACUCAUUAAGUGCUUCAAGGCUAUCAAGUUUCUGAAGGACAAGCUAAGCUGCUCCUCUUCCACUACUGCUAUUCCGUAGGGACAGAUCCCUCAGGACUUACCGUCGAGGAGAUAUGACGAGCCUGAGCCAAGUCGGCGCAGGCCUGAGCCUAGUGAGCAAGAGGUCCCGCAUGUUCCUACAAGGCAUUCAUCAUUCGAGCCUCGUGAGUAUGGGAGAAAGAGGAGGACCGUGCUCACUCGAUCUAGCAGCAGGAGUAGAAGACUUCUGCAGUCUCGAAGUUUACACGACCGCGGUGCUGGCCGCAACAGAAGGAGAGAGGUCGAGUAUCCUCAGAGCGGUGUUGGCCGCCACAUAGCUGAUGAGGUCGAGUACCCACAUACUGGAGCUGAUACAGAACAGGGCGACUCGUCAAUGGCAUGGGAGCAAUCACAGGCAGCCAUUGACAACCAACUCCGUUCAUUCUUCGAUUGAGGUAAGCGCCUCACUUCACCAUUGUAUUAUACCAUCUCCUGUUUUUAUUUUGUUUCUGUGAUUUGUUUUGUCCUGGGUACUCUCUUCCAAAUUUGAUCACACAGUGGACUGUGUGAUUUCAGUUUGGGGGAGGGCUCAGAAAGUGUGUGUUGCAUUGUAUAUACUCUUGAGUCUGCAUUCAUCUAAUGCAUAGAAAAACCAAAAAAGAUUUGAAAAAAUUCAGAAAAUAAUUUCACAAAAACAGAGUCUUCAUGUAGUUGCAUUACAUUUAGGAUCGAGUCUAGAGUGUUUUAUUUAGGAUUGUUGCAUAUGCAUAGGGGAUAAUAAUGAGAUAGCCUUGUAAGCAUUUUGGUUCACCGGAUAAACUGAGUUCCCUCGUUGCUAGUUAUCUGUUUCGUAGUCAAUGAAAUUGAAGUAAAC